This is a long non-coding RNA of Uranotaenia lowii, 1318 nucleotides long. RefSeq lists it as uncharacterized. The record is from RefSeq and is a predicted model, not a curated record. The transcript has 3 exons. Lineage: Eukaryota; Metazoa; Arthropoda; Insecta; Diptera; Culicidae.
UCUGCGGCCAGGCCAGGUUUAUACCGCUGCACCGAAGAGGGCUCUACGCCGUUGUUCAGUUCGUAUUGGAACGUUCUACCGGGCAGUUCGCUGACGAGUGAGAUUCCGCGUUUCGGCGUGCGUUGUUGAGGAGAGAACGUCGCGCAGUCGUCGCUGUGUUGUUUGCUGGUAGCGCCGCAGUAAUUGUACCCGAACCACAUUAUAUUGCCUGGAGUGUGGAUAAUUUUUCGAUUCAAAUUCAACCGUGUGUCUAGCUAGUGACUACCUAGUUGUUUUGUGUGGGCUACGGAGUUAGAACUCCCCCAGUGUGUAUCUGUUGUUUUUUUUUUUUUCAUUCGCCUCCAAGUGAUGCAAAAAAGCACUGUGGGUGCAUGUCAAGAUUUUCUGGAGCUUAAACAGCGUGGCUGAAAAAGUGUACUUAGUGGGUGCUGCACGAGAUCUCUGGGUGAUCGAGCCUCGUUGAAGUGUAUUGAUUAUACUCCAAUAUCGGUGAAGUGUCUACGGGCGGCCUAACAAUCGUCACUGCAACAAAAGAGGUUUCACGGAAGAGGAAUUCCUAACCGUCAUCAUCAAAUAUCUAACAGAAUCGGUAAUAACAGUGAAAAAGUUUUGUGCCAGUGCUGCUUGCUGUUUUGGGGGCUCAAGAGGGUGAUUUAUUUAUUUUCAUUCUUCUGCGGUGAUUAUGGUGCGUGUGGAAGAUCCCAAAAACAGCGAUAAUCAAAAGGAGCAACAAAAAUUGUAAUAACCGAAAAGAAGGUGCUUGAAGAGUAAAUUGGGCAAAAAUAAUAGCAAAUGCUCAGUCCUCCUAAUAUGUAUGUAGUGUAGAGCAGGAGUUUAUGAAGAAGUGUAGUUGAUGAAAACCGUAACACGACGACGGAGCAACAUUUCGAAGUCAAGCAGCGGAAAAGAUAAACCAAGUUCCAGUAUAAACACGGUAAUUGAGGCUUAAGUGGCAGAAAGCAAAACAGAAGCCGAGGCGAUCGGAUCAGUCUGGAUCUGGGAUUAAGGUGUACCAACUGCUGCUUUCAACCGUGCGAUUGUACCACCAAACGUCGUCGAUUACAGUUGUGUGAGGAAUCGUCUUUAAAAGUUGUCCCGGCGCGGGGAGAGCGAGUCGUCACCUGAAAUAACGACUAGUGUGCAUAAAAAAAAGGAAAAAAAAACGAAACUUCCAACGGUAAUCUCGUUUUUUCAGUAUCGUCGAGGUGGAUAUAGUCAUGUAGUGAGGCGCAGAGCGCCAAAAAAACACGAUCGGAUGUGGGAAUUGGAGUGAGGCAGCUCAGUACCCCAUCUAACUAUAAUGGUGAGUUCUGAUUCA